UACGUAGGGGGCAAGCGUUGUCCGGAAUUAUUGGGCGUAAAGAGCGUGUAGGCGGUCCGGUAAGUCAGCUGUGAAAGUCAAGGGCUCGACCCUUGAAUGCCGGUUGAUACUGUCGGGCUAGAGUCCGGAAGAGGCGAGUGGAAUUCCCGGUGUAGCGGUGAAAUGCGCAGAUAUCAGGAAGAACACCCGUGGCGAAGGCGGCUCUCUGGGACGGUACUGACGCUGAGACGCGAAAGCGUGGAGAGCGAACAGG
This 253-nucleotide ribosomal RNA is filed under the name uncultured bacterium. Its description in RNAcentral is "partial 16S ribosomal RNA". It matches the Rfam family "Bacterial small subunit ribosomal RNA", at positions 524 to 776 of the family's 1533-position model. The record is from RNAcentral.